Long non-coding RNA from Alnus glutinosa, 436 nucleotides. RefSeq lists it as uncharacterized. The record is from RefSeq and is a predicted model, not a curated record. NCBI's taxonomy places the organism in Eukaryota, Viridiplantae, Streptophyta, Magnoliopsida, Fagales, Betulaceae. The transcript is spliced from 3 exons.
GCUCUUUUUCUGUCGGAACCAAGAGAAGAAAAAAAGAAAAGAGGGAAAGGGUUCUCAUUUUUCCAUAGAAAGAAAUCAUGAUCCACAAAGAUCUAAUCGUUCAAACUCAAAUUCGACUUUGGAAACGUGAUCUACGCGUGAGGAUCUAUGUUCUUACAGAUUGUUUUGAGGUAAUGGGUUACUUGGAACUUGUUUGAGACUGCCCAAACCAUGGGUUUUGGUUUGGUAAAUUUUUGAAUAGCCCAUUAUGCAGGCAUGAAAGAGUAUAAAGCUCAAGGAUUGGAUUUUGUUAGCAUUGAAGAGUUAAGAACUGUUUAUUAAUGUAGCUAAUGAUUACAGUGAUUUCUUUGUAUCAGUUUGGAAUGUAAUAUUUUAAUUACAUUUGUCUUUCAAUAAACUCUGAUGUAUCUUUUUAAAGAAGAUAAAAUAUGUUCCG